Molecule: transfer RNA, 69 nt
Filed under: Ectrychotes andreae
Lineage: Eukaryota; Metazoa; Arthropoda; Insecta; Hemiptera; Reduviidae
Description: tRNA-Ser
Rfam family: tRNA
About the family: Transfer RNA (tRNA) molecules are approximately 80 nucleotides in length. Their secondary structure includes four short double-helical elements and three loops (D, anti-codon, and T loops).
Source: RNAcentral
AGUCAAAUAGCUUAUAUAAAGCAUAUAUUUUGAAAAUAUAAGAAUGAAGAAUAAAUACUUCCUUGACUU